RNAcentral lists this ribosomal RNA (468 nucleotides) under uncultured bacterium. RNAcentral's name for it is "partial 16S ribosomal RNA". It matches the Rfam family "Bacterial small subunit ribosomal RNA", at positions 28 to 507 of the family's 1533-position model. The record is from RNAcentral.
GACGAACGCUGGCGGCGUGCUUAACACAUGCAAGUCGAACGGAAAGGCCCUGCUUUUGUGGGGUGCUCGAGUGGCGAACGGGUGAGUAACACGUGAGUAUCCUGCUCUCGAUUUUGGGAUAACUUCAGGAAACUGGGGCUAAUACCGGAUAGGAGCUCCUGCUGCAUGGUGGGGGUUGGAAAGUUUCGGCGGUUGGGGAUGGACUCGCGGCUUAUCAGCUUGUUGGUGGGGUAGUGGCUUACCAAGGCUUUGACGGGUAGCCGGCCUGAGAGGGUGACCGGCCACAUUGGGACUGAGAUACGGCCCAGACUCCUACGGGAGGCAGCAGUGGGGAAUAUUGCACAAUGGGCGGAAGCCUGAUGCAGCAACGCCGCGUGCGGGAUGACGGCCUUCGGGUUGUAAACCGCUUUCGCCUGUGACGAAGCGUGAGUGACGGUAAUGGGUAAAGAAGCACCGGCUAACUACGUG